Pelobates cultripes (western spadefoot toad) is the source of this 291-nucleotide non-coding RNA. Lineage: Eukaryota; Metazoa; Chordata; Amphibia; Anura; Pelobatidae. The record is from the annotation of a GenBank genome assembly.
CUUUUGUAAGACUCUGACCCAAAUAAAAUCUUUAGAUAUAAACAGAGCUUAUAUGAACACUGGGAGUGGGCAAAAACUUAGUAGCUUGUCCUUUUAGCUGACUUGUAUCAUUACAGAAGUAACCUACAUUCAUCAUUUAUACGAGUGAACCCACCAACAGGGGUGAUCCAGAUCUGAAAUGCCAGCAAACUCCCUGCACACAAUAUUCCUAGCACCUUAGUUGACCAUUUUGGGCCCAUAAGCAUUGUCAGUGAAAUGUUGCUGAUACCCUUCUAGACACCGUAAACAAAG